Molecule: ribosomal RNA, 403 nt
Filed under: uncultured bacterium
Lineage: Bacteria
Description: bacterial SSU rRNA
Rfam family: Bacterial small subunit ribosomal RNA
Source: RNAcentral
CAAGGAAUUUUCCCCAAUGGGCGCAAGCCUGAGGGAGCAACGCCGCGUGCAGGACGACGGCCUUCGGGUUGUAAACUGCUUUUGGUGGGGACGAUCGUGACGGUACCCGCCGAAUAAGCCCCGGCUAACUCUGUGCCAGCAGCCGCGGUAAGACAGAGGGGGCAAGCGUUGUCCGGACUGACUGGGCGUAAAGCGCGCGCAGGCGGUGCGGGGCGUCGGUGCUGAAAUCGGGCCGCUUAACGGCUCGUGGCGUGCCGAUACGCCCGUACUGGAGGGUGGGCGAGGGUGAUGGAAUUGCCGGUGUAGUGGUGAAAUGCGUAGAGAUCGGCAGGAACACCCGUGGCGAAAGCGGCCACCUAGCCCAUUCCUGACGCUGAGGCGCGACAGCGUGGGGAGCGAACUG